This 443-nucleotide ribosomal RNA is filed under the name uncultured bacterium. Its description in RNAcentral is "partial 16S ribosomal RNA". It matches the Rfam family "Bacterial small subunit ribosomal RNA", at positions 338 to 795 of the family's 1533-position model. The record is from RNAcentral.
CCUACGCGUGGCAGCAGUGGGGAAUAUUGGGCAAUGGGCGCAAGCCUGACCCAGCAACGCCGCGUGAAGGCAGAAGGCUUUCGGGUUGUAAACUUCUUUUCUGAGGGACGAAGAAAGUGCCGGUACCUCAGGAAUAAGCCACGGCUAACUACGUGCCAGCAGCCGCGGUAAUACGGAGGUGGCAAGCGUUAAUCGGAUUUAAUGGGUGUAAAGGGCGUGUAGGCGGGAAAGCAAGUCAGAUGUGAAAACUCAGGGCUCAACCCUUAGCCUGCAUUUGAAACUGUUUUUCUUGAGUGCUGGAGAAGCAAUCGGAAUGCCGUGUGUAGCGGUGAAAUGCGUAGAUAUACGGAGGAACACCAGUGGCGAAGGCGGAUUGCUGGACAGUAACUGACGCUGAGGCGCGAAAGCGUGGGGAGCAAACAGGAUUAGAUACCCCAGUAGUC